Molecule: ribosomal RNA, 381 nt
Filed under: uncultured bacterium
Lineage: Bacteria
Description: bacterial SSU rRNA
Rfam family: Bacterial small subunit ribosomal RNA
Source: RNAcentral
AUUGAACGCUGGCGGCAGGCUUAACACAUGCAAGUCGAGCGGAGACUUCGGUCUUAGCGGCGAACGGGUGAGUAAUACCUAGGAAUCUGCCUAUUAGUGGGGGAUAACGAAUCGAAAGGUUCGCUAAUACCGCAUACGUCCUACGGGAGAAAGGGGGGGAUCUUUGGACCUCUCGCUAAUAGAUGAGCCUAGGCCGGAUUAGCUAGUUGGUAGGGUAAAGGCCUACCAAGGCGACGAUCUGUAGCUGGUCUGAGAGGAUGGCCAGCCACACUGGAACUGAGACACGGUCCAGACUCCUACGGGAGGCAGCAGUGGGGAAUAUUGGACAAUGGGGGCAACCCUGAUCCAGCCAUGCCGCGUGUGUGAAGAAGGCCUUCGGUU